GACGAACGCUGGCGGCGUGCCUAAUACAUGCAAGUCGAACGAGAGCAACCGGUGCUUGCACUGGUCAAUCUAGUGGCGAACGGGUGAGUAACACGUGGGUAACCUGCCCAUCAGAGGGGGAUAACAUCGGGAAACGGAUGCUAAAACCGCAUAGGCCUUCGAACCGCAUGGUUUGAAGGGGAAAAGAGGCGCAAGCUUCUGCUGAUGGUUGGACCCGCGGUGCAUUAGCUAGUUGGUGAGGUAACGGCUCACCAAGGCAGUGAUGCAUAGCCGACCUGAGAGGGUGAUCGGCCACAUUGGGACUGAGACACGGCCCAGACUCCUACGGGAGGCAGCAGUAGGGAAUCUUCCGCAAUGGACGCAAGUCUGACGGAGCAACGCCGCGUGAGUGAAGAAGGUUUUCGGAUCGUAAAACUCUGUUGUUAGGGAAGAACAAGUGCUAGAGUAACUGUUAGCGCCUUGACGGUAGCUAACCAGAAAGCCACGGCUAACUACGUG
Molecule: ribosomal RNA, 498 nt
Filed under: uncultured bacterium
Lineage: Bacteria
Description: partial 16S ribosomal RNA
Rfam family: Bacterial small subunit ribosomal RNA
Source: RNAcentral